This 271-nucleotide ribosomal RNA is filed under the name uncultured archaeon. RNAcentral describes it as "partial 16S ribosomal RNA". It matches the Rfam family "Archaeal small subunit ribosomal RNA", at positions 477 to 747 of the family's 1478-position model. The record is from RNAcentral.
CAGCGCCACGAGUGGCAACCAUAUUUAUUUGGCCUAAAGCGUCCGUAGCUGGUUCAGUAAAUCUCUUGUGAAAUCGUUGGGCUCAACUCAACGGCGUGCAGGAGAGACUGCUAAACUAGGGACCGGGAGGAGUCAGAGGUAUGCUGGGGGGAGCGGUAAAAUGCUAUAAUCCUCGGUAGACCACCUGUGGCGAAGGCGUCUGACUAGAACGGGUCCGACAGUGAGGGACGAAAGCCAGGGGAGCAAACCGGAUUAGAUACCCGAGUAGUCC